RNAcentral lists this unclassified non-coding RNA (335 nucleotides) under soil metagenome. RNAcentral describes it as "partial contains 5.8S ribosomal RNA, internal transcribed spacer 2, and large subunit ribosomal RNA". The stretch from base 1 to 120 matches the Rfam family "5.8S ribosomal RNA", at positions 35 to 154 of the family's 154-position model. The record is from RNAcentral.
GAUGAAGAACGCAGCGAAAUGCGAUAAGUAAUGUGAAUUGCAGAAUUCAGUGAAUCAUCGAAUCUUUGAACGCACAUUGCGCCCGCCAGUAUUCUGGCGGGCAUGCCUGUUCGAGCGUCAUUUCAACCAUCAAGCCCCAGGCUUGUGUUGGGGACCUGCGGCUGCCGCAGGCCCUGAAAACCAGUGGCGGGCUCGCUGUCACACCGGGCGUAGUAGAUUUUAUCUCGCUCAGGGCGUGCUGCGGGUUCCGGCCGUUAAAAGCCUUUUUUACCCAAGGUUGACAUCGGAUCAGGUAGGAAUACCCGCUGAACUUAAGCAUAUCAAUAAGCGGAGGA